CACGUAGUUAGCCGACCCUUAUUCGUUAGUUACCGUCAUAUUCUUCACUAACAAAAGCAGUUUACGACCCGAAGGCCUUCAUCCUGCACGCGGCGUUGCUCCAUCAGGCUUUCGCCCAUUGUGGAAGAUUCCUCACUGCUGCCUCCCGUAGGAGUCUGGACCGUGUCUCAGUUCCAGUCUGGCUGAUCAUCCUCUCAGACCAGCUACCGAUCGUCGGCUUGGUGAGCCAUUACCUCACCAACUACCUAAUCGGACGCGGGCUUCUCCUAAAGCGUAUAAAACUUUAUCCGAAGACCAUAUGCGGUAUUAGACACCGUUUCCGAUGCUUAUCCCUCACUUUAGGGUGAAUUCCCACGCGUUACUCAGCCGUUCGCCGCUCGUGUACCCGAAGGGCCUUACGCUCGACUUGCAUGUGUUAGGCACGCCGCCAGCGUUCAUCCUGAGCCAGGAUCAAACUCU
Molecule: ribosomal RNA, 459 nt
Filed under: uncultured bacterium
Lineage: Bacteria
Description: partial 16S ribosomal RNA
Source: RNAcentral